AUGGAAUCUGGCAAAACAACAAAGAAAGAAACAAAAGUACAUGCAGCUGUGGAAACUCCAAAGUCAAAAGCAGGACUUGAAAAAAAAGAAGGAAAAGCAACAAAGGCAGCAAUGCAAGAUAAAUCAAAGAUGAAACAAGGAAAUCCUGGAAAAGAGAAAGAAUUGAAAUCUCCAGCUGCCACAAAAGAUAAAGAACAUGCUAAAGAAAAGGAAGGGAAGAAUCCUACAUCUUUAAAAGAAAAAGUAUUUACAGGUCCUUCUAACAUGACAAAGGUGGCUAGACUUUCUCCGCACAACCUUCAGAAAAAAGCAGAUUCCCUGAAAGGAAAAAAUCCCAAGAAUCCAGAGACCAUAAAAGAAAAAGAGAGUGGAAAAAGAAAAGAUGUGAAGCCUCCAACAGCCUUAAAGGAAAAAGACUCUUCAAAACGAAAAGAAAUUAAGGCUUCAACUAAUCCUAAGGAAAAAGCUGCAGUGAAAAAGGAGGGGGAGAAGAAAGCUUCCUCAGAGAACCCGCAUGAACACAAGCAUGAACGUGUUAAACAUGACAAAGCUGCCUCUCAGACAAAGCCAGCUAGCAGAAUGCUUCAGACAUUAGAUGAAUUCAGCCAAGGCAAGAACGAGGAAGCCGAGCUUGGUGACCACAGUGGUGGCCAGAAAGUGGGUUGCCUGGAGGGGUAGUGUGAUUACUCACCUUUCUUGCUAAAUGAAAUUAGUCCUGCUGCACAAUUAGCCCAAUCUCAUCCACAUAGCAGCAGGAAAAGAAAUUGCCUUGGUAGGACAUUCUCAAACAUCAGAGCACUUUGUCACAAACCAGUAUACUGGACUAUUCAGGGCUUUACUCUCGCAUACUACAGUACACUCCACAGCCAAGCCCUUGGUGUUUAGAUACUUGAAGGGAAAAAAAAAAAAAAAAAGAAAAUACUUGCUAAAUUUCUUUUAGCAUAAAAUCUCUAUUCUCAAAUGAUAAAUGGUUGCUUUGGAGAACAGUGGUUGUUUUGAGUUUCACUUGAUGACUGGAAGUAUUAAUCUGCAGGCACUGGUGGUAAUAGUGCUUCUUCCUGCUGUGUGCCAAGGAGUGCUCUUGAGUUAACAGUUUGAAUUAUAAAAGCUUAAUUCUGUACAAAGCAGUGGCCUCCUUUUUCACUUUGAUUCAAUGCAGCUUCAAACCAUUUUUCUUAUGUCUCCUGCUAUGAGACUGAGAAGUAUCACAUGACUGAAAUACUAUGGAAUUUCAGAAAAUAUAUUGGUCCCAUAGGGAAAAGUUUAAAUUAGAGUGUUUUGUGUAUGUCAGGGAAAGAAAGUAAAACAGGGGAAUUCAUUCCUUAUGUAAUUCUGCUGAAACUGCCUGCAAUAUACAGGGAAACUUUUACAGCCUUAUUUUUUCCAUUUAAAUUAGAUACAUCAGAGAAAAAAUUAAUAUUGAUGUUUGUAGGGCUACAAAACUGGAGCCCUGCAGAAUAAAUUCUCUUCAAUGAAAGAUUUCAGAAUUUUAAACUUUGGGCUUACUCAAAAUCAGUAUUUUUUAAAAAUAUUCAUAACAUCUAUUUUUUUACUCUUUAUAGCUUUAUGAAGUCCUCGCAAUUGUUUAAUUUUGUAUUUGAA
Taeniopygia guttata (zebra finch) is the source of this 1602-nucleotide long non-coding RNA. The record is from Ensembl. Lineage: Eukaryota; Metazoa; Chordata; Aves; Passeriformes; Estrildidae.